RNAcentral lists this non-coding RNA (472 nucleotides) under Pongo abelii (Sumatran orangutan). Lineage: Eukaryota; Metazoa; Chordata; Mammalia; Primates; Hominidae. The record is from RNAcentral.
CUCGCAGGAGACGGCUGGGCAGAGGAACCACGACGGCCAUGCGGAAGCCACACAAGAGCGAUCCAAUGUCUCAUCUCUGCCCUCAAUCAUGGCCUCCGCUGAUGCCAAAGUAAACCCAUUCAGCUUCAGGAGGCUUUUCAGCAAACAAAGCAUAAUUUGUAUGACAGAUCUGUGUGUGACAGGUAUGACACUCCUGCUCGGUCUCACUGCCUCCCAUCUCUGCUCCAUCCAAUCUAUCUUCCAGUCCAGAAGUGAAGGUUUUGUGCCAAAAUGCAUUCACCCAUCCAAACAUUCAAUAAAUAUCUACUAAGUACCCACUAAAGGUUAGGUGUGCGUGAAGCCCUGGUGACAAAGAAAUAAAGAGACCCAGCUUCUUCCCUUAAACGCUAGUAAACGGUGCAAACCAUGGCACGGUUUGAAAAACGAGCAUGAGGACUGCCUAGGGUCCCUUUGGGAAAUGCUCAACAGAGUG